Molecule: ribosomal RNA, 468 nt
Filed under: uncultured bacterium
Lineage: Bacteria
Description: partial 16S ribosomal RNA
Rfam family: Bacterial small subunit ribosomal RNA
Source: RNAcentral
GACGAACGCUGGCGGCGUGCUUAACACAUGCAAGUCGAACGGAAAGGCCCUGCUUUUGUGGGGUGCUUGAGUGGCGAACGGGUGAGUAACACGUGAGUAACCUGCCCUUGACUUUGGGAUAACUUCAGGAAACUGGGGCUAAUACCGGAUAGGAGCUCCUGCUGCAUGGUGGGGGUUGGAAAGUUUCGGCGGUUGGGGAUGGACUCGCGGCUUAUCAGCUUGUUGGUGGGGUAGUGGCUUACCAAGGCUUUGACGGGUAGCCGGCCUGAGAGGGUGACCGGCCACAUUGGGACUGAGAUACGGCCCAGACUCCUACGGGAGGCAGCAGUGGGGAAUAUUGCACAAUGGGCGGGAGCCUGAUGCAGCAACGCCGCGUGCGGGAUGACGGCCUUCGGGUUGUAAACCGCUUUCGCCUGUGACGAAGCGUGAGUGACGGUAAUGGGUAAAGAAGCACCGGCUAACUACAUG